Long non-coding RNA from Melopsittacus undulatus (budgerigar), 2571 nucleotides. RefSeq lists it as uncharacterized. The transcript is spliced from 3 exons. NCBI's taxonomy places the organism in Eukaryota, Metazoa, Chordata, Aves, Psittaciformes, Psittaculidae. The record is from RefSeq and is a predicted model, not a curated record.
GCACUUCUGGCGUGCGCGGCGCCCCCGCUUCAUUUUCUGAUCAGUCAUUUGCCGUAGGAGAAGCCAUGGUACCAAGCCAUAAUGUCAUGAUCCUGAAGCCCCACUAUCAUAAGGACUGGCAGCAGCGAGUAGUCACAUGGUUUAACCAACCUGCCUGCAAGAUCCGUAGGAGAAAGGCCCACCAGGUGAAGGCUCACCGCAUCACUCCCCAUCCUGUGGGCUGGGCCUGUCCAGCCUAUAGUAAGGUACCCUACUAUAAAGUACCAUAAAAAGGUCCGUGCUGGCAGAGGCUUCAGCUUGGAUGAACUUAAAGUAAGUAUGGUGUGCUGAUCCCCAACCCAAUCAAAUUUACUGACUCGGAGCUUGGUUGUCUUGUCCUGUUUUUCUGUAUAUAGACCGUGUGCUGAGCUGUCAGUAUCUGGUGGCACUAGCUCAGCCAUGGGAGACCUGGGGGGUUGCUGCUCUACAGGGGUACAGAAAACACUGGUCUAGCCUUCUCUUUAACCAGGGAGUGGGGAUGCAGUGUAUAUCAGAGUGAAAGGUGGCUUUGAAUAAUAACCUUUUGUCUGGUCAGUCUGUUACUUAAAAUUCUGUUAAAAUUGGGUUCUGGAAGAGCUUUUGAGUCUCCUAAACUUUUUUUUGGUGGGGGGAGUGCCUGUGAUCCCAGGGAGGGGGGACAAUGCCCUCCAGAGCUGGGGCACCAGAUCCGUGUGCCAAGGUUGCCUGCACCAUGUAUGACUUCACUGGGAAACUUUGGCCAGGCUGGGCAUGCUGGGGCACAGGCAAGAGGGUGGCUCCCAGACCUUGCCCUAGCCAAGCAGCUCCUGGAGGUUGGGGCUGGGGCUGGCAUAGCUUCUCAAUGACCCAUCACUGCAGCAUCGUUUGGCUAUCACCAUCCUCCAGGUAGAGGGUGGCCUCUGUCCCCAGUGUAGGGGAAGUUGCCCCAUCACCCCAGGGUGCCACCAGCCCUGCUUGAGGCAACAGGACAUGGUCAGCACUACCAGAAUUGCCCAGCUGUACCGACAAGGAUGUGAUGUCUCCACUGCCUGCAGGGACCAGAGAAGAGUUUGUGCUCCCCAGCACCAAGACAGGUACCCUGGGGUGGGGGCCCAGGGCAGCCCCUACUCCUGCGCAGCCUCCCAGCCCCACUUGGGUGCUCUCUCCACAUGGGACUUAUCCUGCCCCUCAGUGGCACUGGGGCAAAGCUGGGCACGGCUCCACAGGACCCCUGCUUAGCCCAGGGGGCUGGUAAGUGAAUGAGGGCACAGCAGCACCCAUGGGGCAGGCUGGUGCUUGGAGGUACAGGGCAGCAUCUUGAGAGGAGACCCAGCUCCAGCUCACCCCACUGUGCUUUCAUGCCUUGCAGGGUCCCCAUGGAGCCACUGGGCCUGGAACCGGCCACCCCCCCCCAGGAGGGGGUCUCUGGGGUCCACUCUACCCACUGGAACUUCCCAUCCCAAUCCGCACCAGGGACCAGCCCAACCCCGCACACCUGGCAUUUCAGGGUGAUGUGCCCUAGUGUUGUGGUUGAAGCCCAGCUGGCAACCCAGAACCACACAGCUGCUCACUCACUCCCCCCUUUCCUCCCCCCUCUCCCGGAGGGAUGGAGAGGAGAAUCAAAAGUAUGUAAAGUGCACCCAUGUAAAGAAAUGUAAAGGAAGUUGAACGAACCUAUUACUUGCUAGCUGCAGCUGUAUAUUUAGCAUACUCAUGCAUAUUCAUAGAUUUCACAGGAACUAAUAAUAUUUGCAUUCUAAUUACACAUGUGUUUUCUUGCUGAGUGGGGGUUCUCUGGUGGUCAUCAAUAGACUUCCUCACUGUUUGCUGGAUGACCUCAGUGCUUGCACAUGCUCCCAAGGUCCUAGUGCUGAGUUAGCAGUUAUAUGUCCUUGUUUCUGUUCUGUUCCAGUCUCGCUCCACAUCACGUGCCACUCUGCUAUCUUGAAGGCUGGCAUCCUCGGUCUUAUUUAUUGCCUUCUUAGUUAUCAGUCCCCUGAUGUUCCUUCCACCAUCAGCUGAACAUUCCUUUCUCUACGUGUUAGCAAGUUAGAAGAGUUUGCUGUAUUUUACUAUGUUAAAGCCACACACACUAUUGUUUAGUUUAAACCUAUGAUUUAAGCCUAUAGGUGAGGUGCCUGAACCAUCCCUGCAAGCCUCACUGGCUGUCCUCUCCAAGGAGGAGCUGUGGGUGAGCUAUAAGCACCUCCUGAACCGCAACAUGCCCAACAAGUCCGACCCCUGCAUUCUGCUGCUGAUGCAGUCCCAAUGCCAAUGGAUGGAGGUAGGAAGGUGGGGGGCUCCACCUGAUACAGGGGUAACCAAUGUACAGGGGGGGUAAUACAGAGAAAUUGUAUAAGGGGGUUAAAGGAAGUCCCUUGCUUAAACAAAAGUAUUGUUUGUCGUAAAUACCUAACUGCCUACUAAACAAUACCAAGGCAUUGAGGGGGAGAAGUAGACUGAUAAGGGACAAAAGCAGAUGUGAGAAGCAGACUGGGCACCAACCAAACCCUAAGGCCAUGUGUGAAGAUUAAAAGGUGAAAAGUUUAAGAAGAGGAAGACUUAUUUACUUCA